RNAcentral lists this ribosomal RNA (549 nucleotides) under Triticum aestivum (bread wheat). RNAcentral describes it as "partial small subunit ribosomal RNA". Lineage: Eukaryota; Viridiplantae; Streptophyta; Magnoliopsida; Poales; Poaceae. The record is from RNAcentral.
AUGCCUGGGAUAAAUGCAAGAAGUGCAAGUGCCAUGCUCACAAGCGUGAAGAUUCUGACUUUGAAUGUGCGUUUCGGGGUUCGCAAUGACGUCAAGAUGGUGCCCACCUUCCUCAAAUGCUUUCCCAGCGCUGAGAGACUGCAUAUUGUGAGUGAUAAAUGUGAUAAACCCACUGGUGACCACCUCACCGUCAAGUUCUGGGAGGAGUCUGGUCCCAUUGAGAACGUCGUCUCGCGCAUCAACGUGAUGACUUUCCGUGAGUUCAAAGGGGACCGAGGCGAGGUUGGCUUCCUGGAGUAUGUCUUUCAGAGUGCGCGAGCGCUGGAGAUGGUAGCUAUUUUCAUGGCCAAUCCAAGCUCCACGCCGUUCUCAGAGGACGAGGCGUAUGUCAAGGCGCAAUACAGCGCUAGAAACAUGAAGAGUAAAUCCUGCCAAAAGUGCAUCAUCUGGAGUAGCCAUCCUGCAGGACGCGAUGCUUGGAGCCUCAAAAUUGGGGCAGAUUUCAACUUUGAGGACCCGUUUACGGUGACGUCGGUGGAGGAGGAGGCC